GAUGAACGCUGGCGGCGUGCCUAAUACAUGCAAGUCGAGCGAACAGACGAGGAGCUUGCUCCUCUGACGUUAGCGGCGGACGGGUGAGUAACACGUGGAUAACCUACCUAUAAGACUGGGAUAACUUCGGGAAACCGGAGCUAAUACCGGAUAAUAUAUUGAACCGCAUGGUUCAAUAGUGAAAGACGGUUUUGCUGUCACUUAUAGAUGGAUCCGCGCCGCAUUCGCUAGUUGGUAAGGUAACGGCUUACCAAGGCGACGAUGCGUAGCCGACCUGAGAGGGGGAGCGGCCACGCUGGAACUGAGACACGGUCCAGACUCCUACGGGAGGCAGCAGUAGGGGAUCUUCCGCGAUGGGCGAAGGCCUGACGGAGCAACGCCGCGUGAGUGAUGAAGGUCUUCGGAUCGUAAAACUCUGUUAUUAGGGAAGAACAAAUGUGUAAGUAACUAUGCACGUCUUGGCGGUACCUAAUCAGAAAGCCACGGCUAACUACGUG
Molecule: ribosomal RNA, 497 nt
Filed under: uncultured bacterium
Lineage: Bacteria
Description: partial 16S ribosomal RNA
Rfam family: Bacterial small subunit ribosomal RNA
Source: RNAcentral